AUAAACACCAGAGCUUGCUCUACCGUUUAUGUUGAGUAGCGAACGGGUGAGUAACGCGUGGGUAACCUGCCUUAUAGCGGGGGAUAACUAUUGGAAACGAUAGCUAAUACCGCAUAACAAUGUUAGAUGCAUAUUUAACAUUUGAAAGUACCAAUUGGUACACUAUGAGAUGGACCCGCGUUGUAUUAGCUAGUUGGUAGUGUAAUGGACUACCAAGGCGAUGAUACAUAGCCGACCUGAGAGGGUGAUCGGCCACAUUGGGACUGAGACACGGCCCAAACUCCUACGGGAGGCAGCAGUAGGGAAUCUUCGGCAAUGGACGAAAGUCUGACCGAGCAACGCCGCGUGAGUGAAGAAGGUUUUCGGAUCGUAAAACUCUGUUGUUAGAGAAGAACGUUGAUUAGAGUGGAAAAUUAAUCAAGUGACGGUAUCUAACCAGAAAGGGACGGCUAACUACGUGCCAG
RNAcentral lists this ribosomal RNA (464 nucleotides) under uncultured Lactococcus sp. RNAcentral's name for it is "bacterial SSU rRNA". It matches the Rfam family "Bacterial small subunit ribosomal RNA", at positions 66 to 511 of the family's 1533-position model. Lineage: Bacteria; Bacillati; Bacillota; Bacilli; Lactobacillales; Streptococcaceae. The record is from RNAcentral.